UUAGCGUUGACCUUACAGGCGAGUGAAGGAGAAAGAGAUGUUUAUUUCUGCGGCUCUGUGCAUGCAAAUGAACUCUGAGCGCGUGCGUGUGUGCGUGUGUGUGUGUGUGUGUGCGUGUGUGUGUGAGCAGGCCUGUUUGCUUAAUUGCAGGCGUCUUUUCUCACUGUUUUGUCUCAGGGGAGUCCUGCAGCUUUCCUUGGAAACCAUCUACAAAACAACAUCAGCGACAUCAACAACAACAACAACAGGAGCGCCGUCCUGCUGCAGUCUGCGGCGCUCGCACUCGACUGUACAUGAGGCAGCAGACUCUGUGGUGAUGAAUCAUGGGAGUUCAGAGAUGCUCUGUUGUCAGCUGACGGUUUGAUGCCAUUAAGGAUAUAAUCGCUCAAAGACAUUCUUGGUCGACGAAAACGCUGAAAUUUUCAAACCAAAAAUCGACUGAAUCGGGUGAAAAUACACGAAUAUCAACAGAAGACGACAAUGAAACACUAAUAUUAUGAUAACACUUAACUUGAC
Molecule: non-coding RNA, 516 nt
Organism: Xyrichtys novacula (pearly razorfish)
Lineage: Eukaryota; Metazoa; Chordata; Actinopteri; Labriformes; Labridae
Source: the annotation of a GenBank genome assembly